RNAcentral lists this ribosomal RNA (429 nucleotides) under Fusobacteriota bacterium. Its description in RNAcentral is "Fusobacteria bacterium partial 16S ribosomal RNA". It matches the Rfam family "Bacterial small subunit ribosomal RNA", at positions 355 to 776 of the family's 1533-position model. Lineage: Bacteria; Fusobacteriati; Fusobacteriota. The record is from RNAcentral.
UGGGGAAUCUUCCGCAAUGGACGAAAGUCUGACGGAGCAACGCCGCGUGAGUGAAGACGGCCUUCGGGUUGUAAAGCUCUGUGAUCCGGGACGAAAGAGCCUGAGGUAAAUAGCCUAAGGAAGUGACGGUACCGGAAAAGCAAGCCACGGCUAACUACGUGCCAGCAGCCGCGGUAAUACGUAGGUGGCAAGCGUUGUCCGGAAUUAUUGGGCGUAAAGCGCGCGCAGGCGGCUUCCUAAGUCCAUCUUAAAAGUGCGGGGCUUAACCCCGUGAUUGGAUGGAAACUGGGAAGCUGGAGUAUCGGAGAGGAAAGUGGAAUUCCUAGUGUAGCGGUGAAAUGCGUAGAGAUUAGGAAGAACACCGGUGGCGAAGGCGACUUUCUGGGCGAAAGCUGACGCUGAGGCGCGAAAGCGUGGGGAGCAAACAGG